This 468-nucleotide ribosomal RNA is filed under the name uncultured bacterium. RNAcentral's name for it is "partial 16S ribosomal RNA". It matches the Rfam family "Bacterial small subunit ribosomal RNA", at positions 28 to 507 of the family's 1533-position model. The record is from RNAcentral.
GACGAACGCUGGCGGCGUGCUUAACACAUGCAAGUCGAACGGAAAGGCCCUGCUUUUGUGGGGUGCUCGAGUGGCGAACGGGUGAGUAACACGUGAGUAACCUGCCCUUGACUUUGGGAUAACUUCAGGAAACUGGGGCUAAUACCGGAUAGGAGCUCCUGCUGCAUGGUGGGGGUUGGAAAGUUUCGGCGGUUGGGGAUGGACUCGCGGCUUAUCAGCUUGUUGGUGGGGUAGUGGCUUACCAAGGCUUUGACGGGUAGCCGGCCUGAGAGGGUGAACGGGGACAAUGCGACUACGGUACGGAGCAGAGGGGAACAGGAGGCAGCAGGGGGGAGUAUGGCACAAUGGGGGGACGCCUGAUGCAGCGGCGCCCCGAGCGGGAAGACGGCCUACGGGUUGUAAACGGCAUUAGCCUGAGACCAAGCGUGAGUGACGGUAAUGGGUAAAGAAGCACCGGCUAACUACGUG